RNAcentral lists this microRNA precursor (73 nucleotides) under Pteropus vampyrus (large flying fox). RNAcentral's name for it is "miRNA (ENSPVAG00000028518.1)". Lineage: Eukaryota; Metazoa; Chordata; Mammalia; Chiroptera; Pteropodidae. The record is from RNAcentral.
AUCUCGGAACCUAAGCAGGGUCGGGCCUGGUUAGUACUUGGAUGGGAGACACCUCUUAGCAGGACAAACUGAA